Molecule: ribosomal RNA, 253 nt
Filed under: uncultured bacterium
Lineage: Bacteria
Description: partial 16S ribosomal RNA
Rfam family: Bacterial small subunit ribosomal RNA
Source: RNAcentral
UACAGAGGGUGCGAGCGUUGUCCGGAAUCACUGGGCGUAAAGCGUGCGCAGGCGGUUUUGUAAGCCAGAUGUGAAAUCCCCGGGCUCAACCUGGGAAUGGCAUUUGGGACUGCAAGGCUGGAGUGCGGCAGAGGAGACUGGAAUUCCUGGUGUAGCAGUGAAAUGCGUAGAUAUCAGGAGGAACACCGGUGGCGAAGGCGGCGACCUGGGUUGAUACUGACGCUGAGGCGCGAAAGCGUGGGGAGCAAACAGG